UUUUCAGUAUAAGUAUGUCCCAUGCAAUAUUUAGGACAUACUUAUGCUAAAA
Molecule: non-coding RNA, 52 nt
Organism: Pteropus alecto (black flying fox)
Lineage: Eukaryota; Metazoa; Chordata; Mammalia; Chiroptera; Pteropodidae
Source: Rfam